RNAcentral lists this unclassified non-coding RNA (240 nucleotides) under soil metagenome. Its description in RNAcentral is "partial contains 5.8S ribosomal RNA, internal transcribed spacer 2, and large subunit ribosomal RNA". The record is from RNAcentral.
AACCUAGCACACCUGCGGUGUGUACCUGCGGAGGGAUCAUUACCGAGUUUACAACUCCCAAACCCCAAUGUGAACGUUACCAAUCUGUUGCCUCGGCGGGAUUCUCUUGCCCCGGGCGCGUCGCAGCCCCGGAUCCCAUGGCGCCCGCCGGAGGACCAACUCCAAACUCUUUUUUCUCUCCGUCGCGGCUCCCGUCGCGGCUCUGUUUUAUUUUUGCUCUGAGCCUUUCUCGGCGACCCU